Molecule: ribosomal RNA, 441 nt
Filed under: uncultured bacterium
Lineage: Bacteria
Description: partial 16S ribosomal RNA
Rfam family: Bacterial small subunit ribosomal RNA
Source: RNAcentral
CCUACGGGUGGCAGCAGUGGGGGAUAUUGCACAAUGGGGGAAACCCUGAUGCAGCGACGCCGCGUGGGUGAAGAAGUAUUUCGGUAUGUAAAGCCCUAUCAGCAGGGAAGAAAGAAGACGGUACCUGACUAAGAAGCCCCGGCUAACUACGUGCCAGCAGCCGCGGUAAUACGUAGGGGGCGAGCGUUAUCCGGAUUCACUGGGUGUAAAGGGAGCGUAGACGGCCGUGCAAGCCAGGAGUGAAAGCCCGGGGCCCAACCCCGGGACUGCUCUUGGAACUGUGCGGCUGGAGUGCGGGAGGGGCAGGCGGAAUGCGUGGUGUAGCGGUGAAAUGCGUAGAUAUCAGGAGGAACACCGGCGGCGAAGGCGGCCUGCUGGACCGCGACUGACGUUGAGGCUCGAAAGCGUGGGGAGCGAACAGGAUUAGAUACCCCAGUAGUC